AGAGUUUGAUCCUGGCUCAGGAUGAACGCUAGCUACAGGCCUAACACAUGCAAGUCGAGGGGCAGCAUGGCGGUCGCUUGCGACCGCCGAUGGCGACCGGCGAAUGGGUGAGUAACGCGUAUCCAACCUGCCCCGCGCCCGGGGAUAGCCCUUGGAAAUGAGGAUUAAGACCCGAUACGUGGCGCCGCCGCAUGGCGGCUCCAUGAAACAGACGCGGGAUGGGGAUGCGUUGGAUUAGCCAGCUGGCAGGGCAGCGGCCUACCGGGGCGACGAUCCAUAGGGGUUCUGAGAGGAAGGUCCCCCACACUGGCACUGAGACACGGGCCAGACUCCUACGGGAGGCAGCAGUGAGGAAUAUUGGUCAAUGGGCGAGAGCCUGAACCAGCCAAGUAGCGUGCAGGAUGACGGCCCUACGGGUUGUAAACUGCUUUUGCGGGAGAAUAACCGGCGCCACGCGUGGCGCCCUGCAUGUAUCCCGCGAAUAAGGACCGGCUAAUUCCGUGCCAGCAGCCGCGGUAAUACGGAAGGUCCGGGCGUUAUCCGGAUUUAUUGGGUUUAAAGGGAGCGCAGGCGGAGGAUCAAGCCAGCCGUGAAAUGGCGGCGCUCAACGCCGUCCGGCGGUUGGAACUGGUCCCCUUGAUUGCGGGAGAGGAAGGCGGAACUUGUGGUGUAGCGGUGAAAUGCGUAGAUAUCAAGAGGAACACCAAAGGCGAAGGCAGCUUACUGGCCGACAUCUGACGCUCAGGCUCGAAGGUAUGGGUAGCAAAAGGGAUUAGAUACCCCUGUAGUCCAUACUGUAAACGAUGCAGACUAAGUCUUGUGGCAUUCGACCGCCUCAGGACCUAAGCGAACGCGAUAAGUCUGCCGCCUGAGGACUACGGUCGCAAGACUAAAACUCAAAGGAAUUGACGGGGGCCCGCACAAGCGGUGGAGCAUGUGGCUUAAUUCGAUGCAACGCGAAGAACCUUACCUAGACUUGACAUUGACUUGAAAUACUGAUGAAAGUUAGUAUGUCUUCGGACAAGUUAACAGGUGCUGCAUGGCUGUCGUCAGCUCGUGUCGUGAGAUGUUCGGUUAAGUCCGGCAACGAGCGCAACCCUCGCUUCUAGUUACCAUCAUUUAGUUGGGGACUCUAGAGGGACUACCCCUUUUGGGGAGGAAGGUGGGGAUGACGUCAAGUCAGUAUGGCCCUUACGUCUAGGGCUGCACACGUGCUACAAUGCAUUAUACAAAGGGAUGCAAUAUCGUGAGAUGGAGCCAAUCCUUAAAAUAGUGCCCAGUUCAGAUUGUAGUCUGCAAUUCGACUACAUGAAGUCGGAAUCGCUAGUAAUGGCGCAUCAGCUAUGGCGCCGUGAAUACGUUCCCGGGCCUUGCACACACCGCCCGUCAAG
This 1391-nucleotide ribosomal RNA is filed under the name uncultured bacterium. RNAcentral's name for it is "partial 16S ribosomal RNA". It matches the Rfam family "Bacterial small subunit ribosomal RNA". The record is from RNAcentral.